ACUCCUACGGGAGGCAGCAGUGGGGGAAUAUUGCACAAUGGGCGCAAGCCUGAUGCAGCCAUGCCGCGUGUGUGAAGAAGGCCUCGGUUGUAAAGCACUUUCAUUGUGAGGAAGGUGGUGUCGUUAAUAGCGGCAUCAUUUGACGUUAGCAACAGAAGAAGCACCGGCUAACUCCGUGCCAGCAGCCGCGGUAAUACGGAGGGGUGCGAGCGUUAAUCGGAAUUACUGGGCGUAAAGCGCAUGCAGGUGGUUUGUUAAGUUCAGAUGUGAAAGCCCGGGGCUCAACCUCGGAACUGCAUUUGAAACUGGCAGACUAGAGUACUGUAGAGGGGGUAGAAUUUCAGGUGUAGCGGUGAAAUGCGUAGAGAUCUGAAGGAAUACCGGUGGCGAAGGCGGCCCCCCUGGACAGAUACUGACACUCACGAUGCGAAAGCGUGGGGAGCAAACAGGAUUAGAUACCCUGGUAGCACA
RNAcentral lists this ribosomal RNA (471 nucleotides) under uncultured bacterium. RNAcentral describes it as "bacterial SSU rRNA". It matches the Rfam family "Bacterial small subunit ribosomal RNA", at positions 335 to 797 of the family's 1533-position model. The record is from RNAcentral.